GAUGAACGCUGGCGGCGUGCCUAAUACAUGCAAGUCGAGCGAACGGACGAGAAGCUUGCUUCUCUGAUGUUAGCGGCGGACGGGUGAGUAACACGUGGAUAACCUACCUAUAAGACUGGGAUAACUUCGGGAAACCGGAGCUAAUACCGGAUGAUAUUUUGAACCGCAUGGUUCAAAAGUGAAAGACGGUCUUGCUGUCACUUAUAGAUGGAUCCGCGCUGCAUUAGCUAGUUGGUAAGGUAACGGCUUACCAAGGCAACGAUGCAUAGCCGACCUGAGAGGGUGAUCGGCCACACUGGAACUGAGACACGGUCCAGACUCCUACGGGAGGCAGCAGUAGGGAAUCUUCCGCAAUGGGCGAAAGCCUGACGGAGCAACGCCGCGUGAGUGAUGAAGGUCUUCGGAUCGUANAACUCUGUUAUUAGGGAAGAACAUAUGUGUAAGUAACUGUGCACAUCUUGACGGUACCUAAUCAGAAAGCCACGGCUAACUACGUGCCAGCAGCCGCGGUAAUACGUANGUGGCAAGCGUUAUCCGGAUUAUUGGGCGUAAGCGCGCGUAGGCGGUUUUUUAGUCUGAUGUGAAAGCCCACGGCUCAACCGUGGAGGGUCAUUGGAAACUGGAAAACUUGAGUGCAGAAGAGGAAAGUGGAAUUCCAUGUGUAGCGGUGAAAUGCGCAGAGAUAUGGAGGAACACCAGUGGCGAAGGCGACUUUCUGGUCUGUAACUGACGCUGAUGUGCGAAAGCGUGGGGAUCAAACAGGAUUAGAUACCCUGGUAGUCCACGCCGUAAACGAUGAGUGCUAAGUGUUAGGGGGUUUCCGCCCCUUAGUGCUGCAGCUAACGCAUUAAGCACUCCGCCUGGGGAGUACGACCGCAAGGUUGAAACUCAAAGGAAUUGACGGGGGACCCGCACAAGCGGUGGAGCAUGUGGUUUAAUUCGAAGCAACGCGAAGAACCUUACCAAAUCUUGACAUCCUUUGACAACUCUAGAGAUAGAGCCUUCCCCUUCGGGGGACAAAGUGACAGGUGGUGCAUGGUUGUCGUCAGCUCGUGUCGUGAGAUGUUGGGUUAAGUCCCGCAACGAGCGCAACCCUUAAGCUUAGUUGCCAUCAUUAAGUUGGGCACUCUAAGUUGACUGCCGGUGACAAACCGGAGGAAGGUGGGGAUGACGUCAAAUCAUCAUGCCCCUUAUGAUUUGGGCUACACACGUGCUACAAUGGACAAUACAAAGGGCAGCGAAACCGCGAGGUCAAGCAAAUCCCAUAAAGUUGUUCUCAGUUCGGAUUGUAGUCUGCAACUCGACUACAUGAAGCUGGAAUCGCUAGUAAUCGUAGAUCAGCAUGCUACGGUGAAUACGUUCCCGGGUCU
RNAcentral lists this ribosomal RNA (1370 nucleotides) under uncultured bacterium. Its description in RNAcentral is "bacterial SSU rRNA". It matches the Rfam family "Bacterial small subunit ribosomal RNA", at positions 28 to 1381 of the family's 1533-position model. The record is from RNAcentral.